Molecule: long non-coding RNA, 263 nt
Filed under: Salvia miltiorrhiza (redroot sage)
Lineage: Eukaryota; Viridiplantae; Streptophyta; Magnoliopsida; Lamiales; Lamiaceae
Description: long non-coding RNA (SMIL_LNC009448)
Source: RNAcentral
ACACCUUAGUAUCUUGUUUGAUACAAAAUAUACGAGUUUUUAUGAAUCAAAAAAUUUGAAAAUAUUAUACAAAUUUGUAUAAUUAUACUAUAUUACCUUCUUAUCUCAUACUUAUAAGAGAAAAAAAAAAAAAAAACUUGACAAAAGAUAAACUUAAAUGAAUAUUAUUAAAAUAAAAAAGCAUACUAAAAAAUAUAUAAAAUUAUUACACCAACUUAUGAACUCAGUAAAACACUCUCAUCAUUUAUAAGGUUAUUAACUCC